UACAGAGGUGGCAAGCGUUGUUCGGAAUUACUGGGCGUAAAGGGCUCGUAGGCGGCCAACUAAGUCCGACGUGAAAUCCCCAAGCUUAACUUGGGAACUGCGUCGGAUACUGGAUGGCUUGAAUUCGGGAGAGGGAUGCAGAAUUCCAGGUGUAGCGGUGAAAUGCGUAGAUAUCUGGAGGAAUACCGGUGGCGAAGGCGGCAUCCUGGACCGACAUUGACGCUGAUGAGCGAAAGCUAGGGGAGCAAACGAG
RNAcentral lists this ribosomal RNA (253 nucleotides) under uncultured bacterium. RNAcentral's name for it is "partial 16S ribosomal RNA". It matches the Rfam family "Bacterial small subunit ribosomal RNA", at positions 524 to 776 of the family's 1533-position model. The record is from RNAcentral.